GCAAUUACAAUUACAGUGUUUGCAAGAAAAAUGGGGUAGCUCACCUACUGUUUAUCUUGCUUUGCCAAUUUCUUGCCUAUUGUUCCAGAGUAUAACCAAAAACAAUAGUGACAACAGGCCCAGAGGAAGAGUGUCAACUUGCUUGAUUUGCUAGCCUAUUAUUCCAGUUUGUGGCUGCUAAACUUAUUGUUCCAGUUUGUACUCUUUGUGUCUGCUCCUAUUCCAAUCUUCUUCACAGUAUCAACUUGCUUGAUCAACACAGCAGAGAGGAAUCACCUACUGUUGACACUGACAACAAAAGUUACUCUCACUGUUUA
Molecule: long non-coding RNA, 317 nt
Filed under: Hordeum vulgare
Lineage: Eukaryota; Viridiplantae; Streptophyta; Magnoliopsida; Poales; Poaceae
Description: long non-coding RNA (HVUL_LNC005362)
Source: RNAcentral